RNAcentral lists this transfer RNA (68 nucleotides) under Nemurella pictetii. RNAcentral's name for it is "tRNA-Ser". Lineage: Eukaryota; Metazoa; Arthropoda; Insecta; Plecoptera; Nemouridae. The record is from RNAcentral.
GAAAUGAGAGGCUUCAAGGAGAAGCUGCUAACUUCUUUCUUUAGCGGUUAAACUCCGUUUACAUUUCU